UCACCAUGCCGCGUGUGUGAAGAAGCCUUUGGUUGUAAAGCACUUUAAGCGAGGAGGAGGCUACUGGAUUAUACUCUAGGAUAGUGGACGUUACUCGCAGAAUAAGCACCGGCUAACUCUGUGCCAGCAGCCGCGGUAAUACAGAGGGUGCGAGCGUUAAUCGGAUUUACUGGGCGUAAAGCGUGCGUAGGCGGCUGAUUAAGUCGGAUGUGAAAUCCCUGAGCUUAACUUAGGAAUUGCAUUCGAUACUGGUCAGCUAGAGUAUGGGAGAGGAUGGUAGAAUUCCAGGUGUAGCGGUGAAAUGCGUAGAGAUCUGGAGGAAUACCGAUGGCGAAGGCAGCCAUCUGGCCUAAUACUGACGCUGAGGUACGAAAGCAUGGGGAGCAAACAGGAUUAGAUACCCUGGUAGUCCAUGCCGUAAACGAUGUCUACUAGCCGUUGGGGCCUUUGAGGCUUUAGUGGCGCAGCUAACGCGAUAAGUAGACCGCCUGGGGAGUACGGUCGCAAGACUAAAACUCAAAUGAAUUGACGGGGGCCCGCACAAGCGGUGGAGCAUGUGGUUUAAUUCGAUGCAACGCGAAGAACCUUACUGGGCUUGACAUACUAGAAACUUUCCAGAGAUGGAUUGGGGGCUUCGGGAAUCUAAAUACGGUGGUGCUGGGUGUCGCCAGUCGUGGUCGGAGAUGUUGGGUGAGUCCGCAAGAGGCAACUUUUCUUAUCGCCGUUCCGUGGGCUUAGGGUCGCUGGCCGGGGAGGGCGGCAGUCAAUUUGGGCCUGGGGGCACGU
This 786-nucleotide ribosomal RNA is filed under the name uncultured bacterium. Its description in RNAcentral is "bacterial SSU rRNA". It matches the Rfam family "Bacterial small subunit ribosomal RNA", at positions 389 to 1185 of the family's 1533-position model. The record is from RNAcentral.